AAUCUGACCUCAAAUCACGUAGGACUACCCGCUGACUUAAGCAUAUCAAUUAGCGGAGGAAAGAACUAACAGGAUUCCCCUAGUAACUGCGAGUGAAGCGGGAUGAGCUCAAAUUUGAAAUCUGGCGGUUCCGCCGUCCGAGUUGUAACCUGGAGAAGUGUUUUCCGUGCCGGACCGUGUACAAGUGCCUUGGAACAGGACGUCAUAGAGGGUGAGAAUCCCGUCUUUGACACGGACCACCGGUGCUCUGCGAUGCGCUCUCGAAGAGUCGAGUUGUUUGGGAAUGCAGCUCAAAACGGGUGGUAAAUUCCAUCUAAAGCUAAAUAUUGGCGAGAGACCGAUAGCGAACAAGUACCGUGAGGGAAAGAUGAAAAGCACUUUGGAAAGAGAGUAAAACAGUACGUGAAAUUGUUGAAAGGGAAACACUUGAAGUCAGUCGCGUCUGCCGGAACUCAGCCUUGCUUCUGCUUGGUGCACUUUCCGGUGCGACGGGCCAGCAUCGGUUUCGGGCGGCGGACAAAUGAUGUGGGAAGGUGGCGGCUCCGGCCGCGUUAUAGCCCACGUCGCCAACGCCAUCUGGGACCGAGGAAUCCGGCGCGAGCCUGGGAUGCUGGCGCAAUGGCUUUAAACGACCCGUCUUGAAACACGGACCAAGGAGUGCUACGUGCUCGCGAGUGUUUGGGUGGAAAACCCGGACGCGCAAUGAAAGUGAAAGUCGAUACCCCUCGCGGGGGCACCGACGCCCGAGCCCGAUGUUUUCGGAGGGCCUUGCGGUGGAGCGAGUGCGUUGCGACCCGAAAGAUGGUGAACUAUUCCUGAGAGGGCGA
This 827-nucleotide ribosomal RNA is filed under the name uncultured Basidiomycota. Its description in RNAcentral is "eukaryotic LSU rRNA". It matches the Rfam family "Eukaryotic large subunit ribosomal RNA", at positions 1 to 849 of the family's 3401-position model. The record is from RNAcentral. Lineage: Eukaryota; Fungi; Basidiomycota.